CGGGACGGGUGAGUAACACGUGAGCAACCUGCCUUUCAGAGGGGGAUAACGUUUGGAAACGAACGCUAAUACCGCAUAACAUACCGGGACCGCAUGAUUCUGGUAUCAAAGGAGCAAUCCGCUGAAAGAUGGGCUCGCGUCCGAUUAGCUAGUUGGCGGGGUAACGGCCCACCAAGGCGACGAUCGGUAGCCGGACUGAGAGGUUGAUCGGCCACAUUGGGACUGAGACACGGCCCAG
This 238-nucleotide ribosomal RNA is filed under the name uncultured bacterium. Its description in RNAcentral is "partial 16S ribosomal RNA". It matches the Rfam family "Bacterial small subunit ribosomal RNA", at positions 100 to 334 of the family's 1533-position model. The record is from RNAcentral.